This 910-nucleotide ribosomal RNA is filed under the name Hyaloscypha spinulosa. RNAcentral describes it as "LSU rRNA". It matches the Rfam family "Eukaryotic large subunit ribosomal RNA", at positions 38 to 965 of the family's 3401-position model. Lineage: Eukaryota; Fungi; Ascomycota; Leotiomycetes; Helotiales; Hyaloscyphaceae. The record is from RNAcentral.
GCAUAUCAAUAAGCGGAGGAAAAGAAACCAACAGGGAUUGCCUCAGUAACGGCGAGUGAAGCGGCAACAGCUCAAAUUUGAAAUCUGGCUCUUUCAGGGUCCGAGUUGUAAUUUGUAGAAGAUGCUUUGGGUGUAGCUCCGGUCUAAGUUCCUUGGAACAGGACGUCAUAGAGGGUGAGAAUCCCGUACGUGACUGGUUGCUUUCGCUCGUGUAAAGCUCUUUCGACGAGUCGAGUUGUUUGGGAAUGCAGCUCAAAAUGGGUGGUAAAUUUCAUCUAAAGCUAAAUAUUGGCCAGAGACCGAUAGCGCACAAGUAGAGUGAUCGAAAGAUGAAAAGCACUUUGGAAAGAGAGUUAAACAGUACGUGAAAUUGUUGAAAGGGAAGCGCUUGCAACCAGACUUGCACGCUGUUGAUCAUCCGAGAUUUUUCCCGGUGCACUCGGCAGUGUUCAGGCCAGCAUCGGUUUUGGUGGGCGGAUAAAGGCCUUGGGAAUGUAGCUUCUUUCGGGGAGUGUUAUAGCCCUCGGUGCAAUGCGCCCUACCGGGACCGAGGACCGCGCUUCGGCUAGGAUGCUGGCGUAAUGGUUGUAAGCGACCCGUCUUGAAACACGGACCAAGGAGUCUAACAUCUAUGCGAGUGUUUGGGUGUCAAACCCAUACGCGUAAUGAAAGUGAACGGAGGUGAGAACCCUUAAGGGUGCAUCAUCGACCGAUCCUGAUGUCUUCGGAUGGAUUUGAGUAAGAGCAUAGCUGUUGGGACCCGAAAGAUGGUGAACUAUGCCUGAAUAGGGUGAAGCCAGAGGAAACUCUGGUGGAGGCUCGCAGCGGUUCUGACGUGCAAAUCGAUCGUCAAAUUUGGGUAUAGGGGCGAAAGACUAAUCGAACCAUCUAGUAGCUGGUUCCUGCCGAG